UAUAAGUAUAUAAAGAAACUAUUAUGAAAUUAAUGCUAUGUGUCAAAGAGAAAAAUUUAUAGUAUAUAUAUAAGCUCUUAGGAAAAUCUGAUCCAAAACGAAGUGAAAUGAAAUAUCUUAGUAACUUCAGGAAAAAAAAUCAAAAGAGAUUCUGUGAUUAGCGUGAGUGAAAAUAGAAGAGCCUAAAAAGUAGAAUGGUCCAAAAAACUGUUUAAAUAGAAAGGGGAACCUUCCUCAAAGGCUAAAUAUGACACGUAAGCGAUAGUGAAAAGUACCGUGAGGGAACAAAAUAAAAAUAGUAGUUUUAUAAGCAGUUCGAUAAAAAGAACGUACCUUUUGCAUAAUGGGUCAUCAAGUUAACAUUAGACGCGAGCAUUGUGCGUAGUUAAACCGAACGUAAAAAUAACGUAAAAGUGUCUAAUGUUAGACCCGAAUAGCGGUGAUUUUACCACAGUCAGGAUUAUAAAAGUCCGAACGGGUGAUUGUUGCAUAAAUCUCCGAAGAACUGUGGUAGGUGUGGUGAAGAAAGACAACACUGACCGCCGUAGCUGGUUUUCUGCGAAACCUAUACUAGUAGGCAAUUUAAGUAAAAUCUUAGCAGGUACAGAAUUUAAUCUCGGACAAGACGUGUAAACGUUUUAUUUUGUACAAAUAGGGAGAUCUUAGCGAUUUUAUCUGUGAGUAUGUAUGCUCGGAACGGCAAAGAUAUAUCUUGAAUGAUCAGACAUAGAAUGAUAAGGUUGUAUGUCAAAAGGGAAACAGCCCAGAACAAUAAUUAAGGUUCCUAAAUUAUUAGUUAAGUGAAAUAAAGAGAGUUUUUAUUGAAGUCGACAAGGAGAUAGGCUUAGAAUCAGCCAUAAUUUAAUGAGUUCGUAACAGAGCGCUUGUUAAUCGAUAAUAGGCAUCUAAGAUUUAACGGAUCUAAACAAUAUACCGAAAUUUUGUCCAUAAUAUAUUGUAUUAAUAAUAUUUAAUAUAAUAUAAUGGGGUAGCAGAACGUUGAGUCUAAAAAGAAGGUUUUAUUUAUUAAAUAAAAUUUUGAAAUAACUCAAGUGAGAAUGGUGACAUGAGUAACUAAAAGAAAAGUUUUGGUUUUCCGCCUUAAGCUUAUGGUUAAAAUUAAGUAACGGCCUCUAAGUUUAUAUUAUCUAAAGAUUUAAACGAUGAGAAAAUCUUUUUACUAAAAAACAACAUUUAAGCGUAAAAUGUGCAGGAAAAAGUAGUAAAGUAAAUAACCGUACCUAGAAUCUGAAACAAGUAAGCAAGUAGAGAAUACGAAGGCGUAAAUGAGCUAACAAUCAUAAAGGAACUCGGCAAAAUGACUACUGUAACUUCGGGAGAAAGAGGGCUACAAAAAUAAAUACCGGUAGUUGAGCUACUAUGGGUUUAUACAAUAGGAAGAGACAUAGAAUAGUGCUGUACGACUGUUUAAUUAAAACACAGCACUUUGCUUAAGAUAAAAAAAAAUCUACGUAUAAAGUGUGAGAUCUGCCCAGUGCCGGCAGGUUAACAGAAAUAAUUUAGUAGUACUAAUACUAGAUAUUGAAGGACACCCCGGUUAAAGGCGGCCUUAACGUGAGGGUCCUAAGGUAGCAAAAUGCCUUGGCCGUUAAAUGCGGUCUUGCAUGAAUGGUGCAACGAUACAGCAGCUGUCUCUAUGAUUGGCUCAGUGAAAUUGGAAUAGCAGUGCAGAUACUGCUUACCUCUAGAUAGACGAGAAGACCCUAUGCAGCUUUACUGUUACUAUUUAUGGAGUAUGAUCGAAAAUUCACAGUUUAUAAUAAGGUAAUUGACAAUUUGCAAAUGAGAAUCCUUUAUUUAUCUUUCAUAUGAAUGAAUAAGAUUUAGUAUUAUAUUAAAUCAACCUAAUUCAACUUACUAUUAAAAGUAAGCGACCUUAGGUCAAGGGACUAUGACUAGUAGACAGUUUAUGUGGGGCACAGACCCUGUAAAGAGUAAACAGGAGUAUCUAAAAAAAAAAUAAUCAAAAAGAUUAUUUAGUUUGCAAUUAAAGGUAGUUUGACUAUUUAUAAUCAUAUUGUACUUAUGGCUUAGGCAUAUAAAUUAAGGUAGGAUUUUAACUAAGAGGGAAUUAGAGAUAAUAGAAAAUAUCGUAAACAAGGAUAUUUUCAUGCUAUAAAAAAAAAAUAGUUAUGUAUUGAAUAUCUAAAAAGCUUAACGGCUAAAUCUUGCCUGACUGUUUGAUUAUCUACACAUCUUACAGUUGCGUAAGCAGGGCAUAGGAUCACUAGAUGCAAUAAGGAAAGAUCUAGGAUUCUUGGAAAAGUUACGCUAGGGAUAACAGGCUAAUUUGCGCAAGAGUGUACAAAAUGAGUGCGCGGUUUGGCACCUCGAUGUCGGCUUAACUAAUCCUCAUGGAUGCAAGUACUAUGUAGGGUGCGACUGUUCGUCGCUUAAAAAGUUACACGAGCUGGGUAAAGUAUUUAGCCCCUAAAUAAUUAGCUAUCUGCUAGUUAAUUGCUAAGAAAAUCGGGAAAAUUUCAAGAAUUACUAAUAAUAGUAAACUUGAAGCGAAAUUUAUAUUAAUAGUAUAAAAACGUUCAACGGCUAUAAGGUGAGCGGCAUACUAGCUUUUAGUAAGAUAGCAAUAAUCCUUUUAACAACACCCGACGUAUAGUUAAAUUUAUAGUAUUUAAACCCAUUUUAGCCAAGCGCCGUAAAAUAUGAACAAAACAACUUUAAUAAGAUAUUUAAAUUCAGUUAUGAAAAACGAAUCUUUAACUGAAACAGAAAAAUUUAUAAGAACUUGAAAUGAACUACCUAUGUGGUUAUGAUAGGAUUAAUGUUGAGAGAUGGAUCUUUAGAAAGAUCUUCACCUACAAGUGGAGUUCGUCUUUCCAUAUUAAGAAGCAUGGUGAAUAUUUAAAGUUUCUAUAUAACUUCUAUAGGCCUUAUAUAAAUACAAAACCUGCUUGUAUUAAAGUUUAUAAUAAAAAGACAGAUGAGAGAUUAAAAUUUAAAACAAUAAGUUUACCUCCAUUAUUAUGAAUUGUUUUAUAUAGAAGGUAAGAAAAUAGUUCCAAGUAAUAUAGAAAAACUUAUGACACCUGUAGUAUUAGCCCAUGGGUGAUGGUAAUUUAAAACUUCCAGAUAAAAUCAUUAUACAAAUAGUUUUAGAUGUUGAAUUAUUAGCUUCAGGUAUAUCUAAUAAAUUAGAUAUAAAAACUAAAGUAGUUCAUGAUAGAAAUAAUCAAUAUAUUUUAGUAAAAAUGAAUUACAAAAAGUACAAAAUAUUAUUCAAGGUCAUAUGUAUCCUUCUAUGUUAUAUAAAAUAGAUUUAGCGGCCCUUGGGCCGAAAAAUCUUUCUCAUAGUUUUGUCUUUGGAGGCUCGGUUAAUAAUAUAUAUUUGUUCAAUAAAUCUGCUAUGGAGACGUAAGCUCUGUUUAAAUAAUAGUAGUAUAUACUAAGCUAAAUACUUUUAAUACUAAAAUGGCGCUAUACGGUGACAUAGUCUGAACCUUUUUGAAAAGAAUGGAAAAAAAGAAAUUUUGAUAACAAAUAGUAAAUACGUCGUGAGACAGUAUGGUUUCUAUCUUCUAGGGGGAAUUAGAAUAAAAUAAGAACAAACUUUUGUACGCAAGGAACAAGACGAUUUUAACUCAAAAGGUUAAAAAGGGGUUUAUUAACCAAUGGUAUCUCUGUUGUUUAUGUGUUAAAGUGUUUCUUUCACUAAGACAAAUACAUCAUAAGCACGGCAGAAAGGCUAAGUUAGUUAAAGAUAAGUGCUGAAAGCAUAUAGGCACGAAGCUUAUCUUAAGAUAUUUCUUAAAUAUACGUAAUAUACUAUUACGAAAAUAAAUAGGCUUUUAUCUGUAAUAAUCAGUAGAUUUUUAAGAAUAAAGUACUAAUUUAAUAAUACACUAUUUAUAUAUAUAUC
Molecule: ribosomal RNA, 3898 nt
Filed under: Ophiocordycipitaceae sp.
Lineage: Eukaryota; Fungi; Ascomycota; Sordariomycetes; Hypocreales; Ophiocordycipitaceae
Description: large subunit ribosomal RNA
Rfam family: Bacterial large subunit ribosomal RNA (bases 1-2489)
Source: RNAcentral